AUUGAACGCUGGCGGCAUGCUUUACACAUGCAAGUCGAACGGCAGCGCGGGCUUCGGCCUGGCGGCGAGUGGCGCACGGGUGAGUAAUGCAUCGGAACGUGCCCAGUAGUGGGGGAUAGCCCGGCGAAAGCCGGAUUAAUACCGCAUACGACCUGAGGGUGAAAGCGGGGGACUGAAGGGCCUCGCGCUAUUGGAGCGGCCGAUGUCGGAUUAGCUAGUUGGUGGGGUAAAGGCUUACCAAGGCGACGAUCCGUAGCUGGUCUGAGAGGACGACCAGCCACACUGGGACUGAGACACGGCCCAGACUCCGACGGGAGGCAGCAGUGGGGAAUUUUGGACAUGGGGGCAACCCUGAUCCAGCCAUGCCGCGUGCGGGAAGAAGGCCUUCGGGUUGUAAACCGCUUUUGUUCGGGAAGAAAUCCUCUGGGCUAAUACCCCGGGGGGAUGACGGUACCGGAAGAAUAAGCACCGGCUAACUACGUG
RNAcentral lists this ribosomal RNA (483 nucleotides) under uncultured bacterium. Its description in RNAcentral is "partial 16S ribosomal RNA". It matches the Rfam family "Bacterial small subunit ribosomal RNA", at positions 28 to 507 of the family's 1533-position model. The record is from RNAcentral.